This 1156-nucleotide ribosomal RNA is filed under the name Lacticaseibacillus paracasei. Its description in RNAcentral is "bacterial SSU rRNA". It matches the Rfam family "Bacterial small subunit ribosomal RNA", at positions 318 to 1471 of the family's 1533-position model. The record is from RNAcentral. Lineage: Bacteria; Bacillati; Bacillota; Bacilli; Lactobacillales; Lactobacillaceae.
CUGAAGACACCGGCCCAACUCCUACGGGAGCAGCAGUAGGAUCUCCACAAUGGGACGCAAGUCUGAUGAGCACGGCGGCGUGGAGGGGAAGAAGCUUCGGGUCGUAAACUCUGUUGUUGGAGAAGAAUGGUCGGCAGAGUAACUGUUGUCGGCGUGACGGUAUCCAACCAGAAAGCCACGGCUAACUACGUGCCAGCAGCCGCGGUAAUACGUAGGUGGCAAGCGUUAUCCGGAUUUAUUGGGCGUAAAGCGAGCGCAGGCGGUUUUUUAAGUCUGAUGUGAAAGCCCUCGGCUUAACCGAGGAAGCGCAUCGGAAACUGGGAAACUUGAGUGCAGAAGAGGACAGUGGAACUCCAUGUGUAGCGGUGAAAUGCGUAGAUAUAUGGAAGAACACCAGUGGCGAAGGCGGCUGUCUGGUCUGUAACUGACGCUGAGGCUCGAAAGCAUGGGUAGCGAACAGGAUUAGAUACCCUGGUAGUCCAUGCCGUAAACGAUGAAUGCUAGGUGUUGGAGGGUUUCCGCCCUUCAGUGCCGCAGCUAACGCAUUAAGCAUUCCGCCUGGGGAGUACGACCGCAAGGUUGAAACUCAAAGGAAUUGACGGGGGCCCGCACAAGCGGUGGAGCAUGUGGUUUAAUUCGAAGCAACGCGAAGAACCUUACCAGGUCUUGACAUCUUUUGAUCACCUGAGAGAUCAGGUUUCCCCUUCGGGGGCAAAAUGACAGGUGGUGCAUGGUUGUCGUCAGCUCGUGUCGUGAGAUGUUGGGUUAAGUCCCGCAACGAGCGCAACCCUUAUGACUAGUUGCCAGCAUUUAGUUGGGCACUCUAGUAAGACUGCCGGUGACAAACCGGAGGAAGGUGGGGAUGACGUCAAAUCAUCAUGCCCCUUAUGACCUGGGCUACACACGUGCUACAAUGGAUGGUACAACGAGUUGCGAGACCGCGAGGUCAAGCUAAUCUCUUAAAGCCAUUCUCAGUUCGGACUGUAGGCUGCAACUCGCCUACACGAAGUCGGAAUCGCUAGUAAUCGCGGAUCAGCACGCCGCGGUGAAUACGUUCCCGGGCCUUGUACACACCGCCCGUCACACCAUGAGAGUUUGUAACACCCGAAGCCGGUGGCGUAACCCUUUAGGGAGCGAGCCGUCUAAGGUGAACAAA